Molecule: long non-coding RNA, 204 nt
Filed under: Elaeis guineensis (African oil palm)
Lineage: Eukaryota; Viridiplantae; Streptophyta; Magnoliopsida; Arecales; Arecaceae
Description: long non-coding RNA (EGUI_LNC054516)
Source: RNAcentral
GCAUUCCCUCAAUUUUCUAUCUUCUUCAAGAUCCUACAUAAAAGUAUACAAAUGAGCACUUAAAUCAGAAUCUAGAACUCAACUAGAAAAAGAAGAAACUGUUAGAUUAGUUUCAAUUACGAGCAAGUCAGAUGUACCUUCAGAAGGCCCAUCUUUCUUUCUGUUCUUCAUAAUCACCAGAUAUAUCAGACAGUUCCUUUUCUA